Molecule: ribosomal RNA, 481 nt
Filed under: denitrifying bacterium W110b
Lineage: Bacteria; Pseudomonadati; Pseudomonadota; Betaproteobacteria
Also listed under: 1 other name
Description: bacterial SSU rRNA
Rfam family: Bacterial small subunit ribosomal RNA
Source: RNAcentral
UUUGAUCCUGGCUCAGAUUGAACGCUGGCGGCAUGCCUUACACAUGCAAGUCGAACGGCAGCGCGGGAGCAAUCCUGGCGGCGAGUGGCGAACGGGUGAGUAAUACAUCGGAACGUGCCCAAUCGUGGGGGAUAACGCAGCGAAAGCUGUGCUAAUACCGCAUACGAUCUACGGAUGAAAGCAGGGGAUCGCAAGACCUUGCGCGAAUGGAGCGGCCGAUGGCAGAUUAGGUAGUUGGUGAGGUAAAGGCUCACCAAGCCUUCGAUCUGUAGCUGGUCUGAGAGGACGACCAGCCACACUGGGACUGAGACACGGCCCAGACUCCUACGGGAGGCAGCAGUGGGGAAUUUUGGACAAUGGGCGAAAGCCUGAUCCAGCCAUGCCGCGUGCAGGAUGAAGGCCUUCGGGUUGUAAACUGCUUUUGUACGGAACGAAACGGUCUUUUCUAAUAAAGAAGGCUAAUGACGGUACCGUAAGAAUA